UGAGUUUGAUCCUGGCUCAGGAUGAACGCUGGCGGCGUGCCUAACACAUGCAAGUCGAACGAAGCACUUUUGUGGAUCCCCUUCGGGGGUGAGGCAAACGUGACUUAGUGGCGGACGGGUGAGUAACGCGUGGGUAACCUGCCUCAUACAGGGGGAUAACAGCUGGAAACGGCUGCUAACACCGCAUAAGCAUACAGCAUCGCAUGAUGCAGUGUGAAAAUAUUUAUAGGUAUGAGAUGGGCCCGCGUCUGAUUAGCUAGUUGGUAAGGUAACGGCUUACCAAGGCGACGAUCAGUAGCCGGCUUGAGAGAGUGAUCGGCCACAUUGGGACUGAGACACGGCCCAAACUCCUACGGGAGGCAGCAGUGGGGAAUAUUGCACAAUGGGGGAAACCCUGAUGCAGCAACGCCGCGUGAGUGAAGAAGUAUUUCGGUAUGUAAAGCUCUAUCAGU
RNAcentral lists this ribosomal RNA (452 nucleotides) under uncultured bacterium. RNAcentral describes it as "bacterial SSU rRNA". It matches the Rfam family "Bacterial small subunit ribosomal RNA", at positions 1 to 440 of the family's 1533-position model. The record is from RNAcentral.